GGGGGUGUAGUUUAAAUGGUAAAACGUAUGUUUUGCAUGCAUAAAAUCAUCGGUUCGAGUCCGGUUAUCUCCA
Molecule: transfer RNA, 73 nt
Filed under: Gelidium galapagense
Lineage: Eukaryota; Rhodophyta; Florideophyceae; Gelidiales; Gelidiaceae
Description: tRNA-Ala
Rfam family: tRNA
About the family: Transfer RNA (tRNA) molecules are approximately 80 nucleotides in length. Their secondary structure includes four short double-helical elements and three loops (D, anti-codon, and T loops). Further hydrogen bonds mediate the characteristic L-shaped molecular structure. tRNAs have two regions of fundamental functional importance: the anti-codon, which is responsible for specific mRNA codon recognition, and the 3' end, to which the tRNAs corresponding amino acid is attached (by aminoacyl-tRNA synthetases). tRNAs cope with the degeneracy of the genetic code in two manners: having more than one tRNA (with a specific anti-codon) for a particular amino acid; and 'wobble' base-pairing, i.e. permitting non-standard base-pairing at the 3rd anti-codon position.
Source: RNAcentral